Long non-coding RNA from Ictalurus punctatus (channel catfish), 1317 nucleotides. NCBI's taxonomy places the organism in Eukaryota, Metazoa, Chordata, Actinopteri, Siluriformes, Ictaluridae. The record is from Ensembl.
GAGAGAGAGAGAGAGAGAGAGAGAGACUGAAAGAGAAGAGGAGAGGGAGAGAGAGAGAUAGAGAGAGAGAGAGAGAGAGAGGAGAUCGCGGCGCGCUGAUCCAUCCGGUCCGACAGCGCGCGUUCAGGAGCGAUCAGAAAUGAAUGAAUAGCUCACGGCUUUUCACUUUAAGCCGCUGUUUAGAGACACUUCUUCUGCUUUACACGCUGCAGGUGAAUAACACGCCUUUAUCUACCGGAAACACGAGUUUGAUAUACACUGGAAUUAUAAUUGAUCCCGAUAAUGAUAUGGCACAGUCAUGGCACAGUCAUGGCACAGUCAUGGCACAGUCAUGGCACAGUCAUGGCACAGUCAUGGCACAGUCAUGGCACAGUCAUGGCACAGUCAGGUGGUGUGGAAUUAAAAAUCCGUAUCCCAGUUUCGAAACACACCAUGUUUCUGAACACAAGUUCCUGAAUCAAUCCUGAAUAAAUAAAUACAAAUCCAAUCAGAGCAGUCAGGAGUGUCAUUCUGCUCACACAUACGCUCCUGUUUAUUCUAUUUCUUUGUUGUUGUUGUUGCUGUUGUUGUUGUUGUUGUUGUUGUUGUUGAUGAUGAUGAUGAUGAUGAUGAUGAAGAAGAUGAAGGUGAUGAUGAAGAUGAUGAUGAUGUGUAUUAGAAUAAUACUUUUGCUUUUGUUUAUGGAAUAAAAAGCAACGCAAGACCUCUCUGACAACUUUGCAAAGCGCAUUAACAGAAGAGUUGAAGUUUUAGAGAGAGAGAGAGAUAAAGAGAGAGAGAGAUAAAGAGAGAGAGAGAGAUAAAGAGAGAGAGGGAGAUAAAGAGAGAGAGGGGGAUAAAGAGAGAGAGGGAGAUAAAGAGAGAUAGAUCAGAUCUUACCUUGCUCUAAGAGGCGUGAAGAGUGUUGGAAAGACGGGUCCAGGGAAUCCUUCUCAGCCAUCAGCUCCGGCAAAUACUUUUCAUUAUCCAUGAUGACUCUUAUUGUUUAUUUAUUAUUUAUGAUCUCUGUCCUGUCCGCGGAGGACGCCGUGUGCGCGUUACAGACACACACCAAGCCUCAGAGAGAGAGAAACACACACACACACACACACACACACUCACACACACACACACACACACACACACACAAGAAGAAGCUCUGAGGAUCAGCUAUGCGUUCCACAUCACCGGAAGUGUGCUGAUGGAGGUGGAGAAUGUUCCCGGAGAUUCGGCUUCAUCCAUCCGCCUGACAGAGCCGCGACACCGGGAAGUGUCCUGCUCCUGCGCGCGCUGCCUGUCUGCUCUCUUCAGCUUCCAGCUCCCCCUGCUGUAUCCACG